CAAGUACCGCCUUGUUUCUCUAUUGCUGUCAGACGUUGGAAUUGCACACAGACAUUUGGUGGGGUCGCGAACAAAGGACACACUGACUUUGUUGCCGUCUGAGCUUGCGUUUUAAAGGAAUACAUUGGCGAUCGUCUUAAGUUUGCGCCUAUUUGCAUGCUCAAAAGUCAGCGUUUGAGCUUGUUUGAAAUUUUGGUCAUGGCUGACUGUGAAAAGGGUCAAGUGAAAAUGGCUACAUCCCUACCUGAAGGUUUUCAUUAUGAGACCAGAUAUGUUGUCCUUAGUUAUUUGGGGCUGGCUUCACAAGAAAAUAUUCCAUUAUUGACAGGCACGCAAUCAACAGAAAGGGUUGCUUUGGAGCCUUCUGCAAUUGAGAAUAUGAAGAUGGAAAUAGAAGAGCAACUUAAGCAACUGCAUGAUGAAAUUAAUAAAGCCUUUGCCAGUACAGGAUUUGAGUGCCACACUUCUCCAGUAUUUAGUCCUGCAAAUCCAGAAAGCUCAAUAGAAGACUGCAUGGCUCACCUUGGGGAGAGAGUGUUUCGGGAGCUUCCUGUGCAGGUGGAGGGAGCACUGCAAAAUAUUCUUGCCAAACCUCUGGAAUACGAGUUGUACAGAGAGCAGUUAAAUCAACUAACCAGCCACGCCAGAGGGUGGAGUAAGGUUCUGGUUUCUCUAGUGGUAUUAAGGCAGUUACUAACGAGCAACAUCAAGCCAUCGCUAAAGACAAUGGUGGAGUUUGGAGUAAAGUACAUUGAGGAGACAAAUGCUGAUUAUAUCAUCCAGCAAGGUGGUUGGACUUGUUGAAUAAUUACUAUUGUUAGUCUUUGGAGUGGAGGAAGAGGAUAAAAUACUAGGUUUGCAAGGAAAUCAGUAAUGAUUCCAGGAUUAAUUCACUAAAGUUUAGGGCACUAUUUUCAGUCUUGAUUCUGAAGAUGAAGAACGGGGAGAAACGGUGGAUGAUAGCAAUGAUAUUUAUAUCUUAACUAGUGACAAUUCUGGUCAAGUAAGCCCUCCUGAACCACUCGCUGUUACCAGUUCCUGGCAGGUGGCUAGCAUGCCAGCAUCGUUGUCCACUAGUCAAAGCUGGCAUACUGAAGGCAUGCCAGUUUCUCUUGGAGCAGAGUCUUGGCAACAGCUAUCCAUGGAUCCAGAGGAAUUGAAGAGCUUGGAUAGUAAUGGUGGAGGUGAAGAGAGGAGCGAAAACAAUUCUUCCAAUUCUGAUAUUGUUCAUGUAGAAAAGGAAGAAAUUACUGAAGCCGUUGAGAGGCAGGAAUUGGAGCUAAAGACAACUGGGUCCACAACGGAGUCAGAACCUCCAUCUACACAACAGACAAUGCCAGCAGAGGGGCAGCCUUCUGUUGGAGCAGAGAAAACUGAUCCUUUAUCAGCACUGCCCCCAAAGGCAGUCGCUGAAGUCGAGGAAAAAUCUCCAACGGCUUCAGAACAAAAUGUAUCUCAAUCUGGUGAAGUACAACAGUCGACAUCUCUGCAAGAAAUAAGAAAGCAAUUGGAUGAGAAGAAAAGAGGGGUCUGGGAGGAUGCCCCAGAAACCAAACUGGAAGAGGAAGGUUUUGAAAAGGGGCGAAGAAUUGAAAUUACUCCACUAACUGAGCCAGAAGUUUCUACAGAGGUCAUUCCUUCAAAAACAACCACGUCGGUCUUGCUUUAUGGUGGAGCUGCAGCUUUUGCAAUGCUGGCACUUGCAUUGGGUGUAGCUCUAGCCUUGAGGAGAAGGUUUUAACGUGAGCACUUUGUUACUGAGCAUAGUAAUUUGGGAGGCUUUCUAUUCUACAUUUGAUUUGUGACUGUAAUUGAGUAUUUAUUAGUUGUAUUGCAGAAGAUGUGAUCAAUGAGGUAAUCGGAGGUGAGGGGUACAAAUACAGUACAGUGUUAUAUACAGUGAUGAAAUGUUAAUGGCCCAUGGUGUAAAGAAAAUUGUGGGGUAUAAAACGUUCUUGUAUGCAAUAGAAUCUGACAGUAAAAAUGCUAGUCCAUCUCCAAAUAGUAACUAAAUGUGAAGUCGUUGUAUUGGAAAUGUGGAGGAAAUGAAAGUUAAAUCUUCAGGGUACGAAGCAUGUUAACAGAGACCUUUUUAUAAUUCAAAUUAAUUCGUAUUUACUGCCACCCUCAUUCUUAACUGAGUAAAACUACUUUCUAAAUUUUAUAAAACAUUAACUUUGAGUAUUGUUUCCAUCUUUAGAAUCCACUCAGUUUUAUCAUGACCGUUGAUGUGACUUUUACUUCUGCCUGUAUGUUUUGCUUUCCCUUGUUUCACUCGCGUUUACUUUGGUUUAUUUCUUCAUGGGACAUUUCUCAUUAACAAAUACAGGAAGAUGCUCAUUGAUAUAAUGUGUUUUGCAUUAGGUUAAAAGUAAGAUAUAGGGUAGUUAUUAAUGUCUCCACUACUGCUACCACAGAUGCCAAAACAACUCAUUUUGGUAGUGGCGAGUUGAAAAUGUGAUGUCUAAACUUGUUUAAACAAGCAAGUGGGAAUAGCUUGCAUGUUUCCAAGCAAGAUGACAAAAAACAAUGAUUGACUGCAACUAGGAUUUCCAAGUGCUGGCUUUGCAAUUUGUACUGAAACCAUAAACAACAAUAAAACAUGGAUUAAUUUGUGGUGUAAAA
RNA transcript from Amblyraja radiata (thorny skate), 2625 nucleotides. It is a transcript of the gene named BCL2 like 13, with no coding region annotated. The record is from RefSeq and is a predicted model, not a curated record. The transcript has 8 exons. Lineage: Eukaryota; Metazoa; Chordata; Chondrichthyes; Rajiformes; Rajidae.